CUUGCUUCUCUUGAGAGCGGCGGACGGGUGAGUAAUGCCUAGGAAUCUGCCUGGUAGUGGGGGAUAACGUCCGGAAACGGACGCUAAUACCGCAUACGUCCUACGGGAGAAAGCAGGGGACCUUCGGGCCUUGCGCUAUCAGAUGAGCCUAGGUCGGAUUAGCUAGUUGGUGGGGUAAUGGCUCACCAAGGCGACGAUCCGUAACUGGUCUGAGAGGAUGAUCAGUCACACUGGAACUGAGACACGGUCCAGACUCCUACGGGAGGCAGCAGUGGGGAAUAUUGGACAAUGGGCGAAAGCCUGAUCCAGCCAUGCCGCGUGUGUGAAGAAGGUCUUCGGAUUGUAAAGCACUUUAAGUUGGGAGGAAGGGCAGUAAAUUAAUACUUUGCUGUUUUGACGUUACCGACAGAAUAAGCACCGGCUAACUCUGUGCCAGCAGCCGCGGUAAUACAGAGGGUGCAAGCGUUAAUCGGAAUUACUGGGCGUAAAGCGCGCGUAGGUGGUUCGUUAAGUUGGAUGUGAAAUCCCCGGGCUCAACCUGGGAACUGCAUUCAAAACUGACGAGCUAGAGUAUGGUAGAGGGUGGUGGAAUUUCCUGUGUAGCGGUGAAAUGCGUAGAUAUAGGAAGGAACACCAGUGGCGAAGGCGACCACCUGGACUGAUACUGACACUGAGGUGCGAAAGCGUGGGGA
This 692-nucleotide ribosomal RNA is filed under the name uncultured bacterium. RNAcentral describes it as "bacterial SSU rRNA". It matches the Rfam family "Bacterial small subunit ribosomal RNA", at positions 79 to 767 of the family's 1533-position model. The record is from RNAcentral.